RNAcentral lists this transfer RNA (66 nucleotides) under chicken gut metagenome. It matches the Rfam family "tRNA". Rfam says of the family: Transfer RNA (tRNA) molecules are approximately 80 nucleotides in length. Their secondary structure includes four short double-helical elements and three loops (D, anti-codon, and T loops). Further hydrogen bonds mediate the characteristic L-shaped molecular structure. tRNAs have two regions of fundamental functional importance: the anti-codon, which is responsible for specific mRNA codon recognition, and the 3' end, to which the tRNAs corresponding amino acid is attached (by aminoacyl-tRNA synthetases). tRNAs cope with the degeneracy of the genetic code in two manners: having more than one tRNA (with a specific anti-codon) for a particular amino acid; and 'wobble' base-pairing, i.e. permitting non-standard base-pairing at the 3rd anti-codon position. The record is from RNAcentral.
UGGUGUAGCACAGCGGUAGUGCAGCUGAUUCGUAAUCAGCAGGUCGAGGGUUCAAUCCCCUCCACC